CCUACGGGAGGCAGCAGUGGGGAAUCUUGCGCAAUGGGCGAAAGCCUGACGCAGCCAUGCCGCGUGAAUGAUGAAGGUCUUAGGAUUGUAAAAUUCUUUCACCGAGGACGAUAAUGACGGUACUCGGAGAAGAAGCCCCGGCUAACUUCGUGCCAGCAGCCGCGGUAAUACGAAGGGGGCUAGCGUUGCUCGGAAUUACUGGGCGUAAAGGGAGCGUAGGCGGAUAGUUUAGUCAGAGGUGAAAGCCCAGGGCUCAACCUUGGAAUUGCCUUUGAUACUGGCUAUCUUGAGUACGGAAGAGGUAUGUGGAACUCCGAGUGUAGAGGUGAAAUUCGUAGAUAUUCGGAAGAACACCAGUGGCGAAGGCGACAUACUGGUCCGUUACUGACGCUGAGGCUCGAAAGCGUGGGGAGCAAACAGGAUUAGAUACCCUGGUAGUCCACGCUGUAAACGAUGAGUGCUAGUUGUCGGCAUGCAUGCAUGUCGGUGACGCAGCUAACGACAUAAGACACUCCGCCGUCGGGAGGUACGGUCGCGAGAAUAAACUACAAGAGUAGAGGCGUGAGAGNGCCGACGGACGACGACGAGGGAGGAGG
RNAcentral lists this ribosomal RNA (596 nucleotides) under uncultured bacterium. Its description in RNAcentral is "bacterial SSU rRNA". The stretch from base 1 to 518 matches the Rfam family "Bacterial small subunit ribosomal RNA", at positions 338 to 873 of the family's 1533-position model. The record is from RNAcentral.